RNAcentral lists this ribosomal RNA (567 nucleotides) under uncultured bacterium. RNAcentral's name for it is "bacterial SSU rRNA". It matches the Rfam family "Bacterial small subunit ribosomal RNA", at positions 337 to 917 of the family's 1533-position model. The record is from RNAcentral.
UCCUACGGGAGGCAGCAGUGGGGAAUUUUCCGCAAUGGACGAAAGCCUGACGGAGCAAUACCGCGUGAGGGAAGACUGCCUAUGGGUUGUAAACCUCUUUUUUCAGGGAGGAAUCAAUGACGUGUACCUGAAGAAUAAGCAUCGGCUAACUCCGUGCCAGCAGCCGCGGUAAGACGGAGGAUGCAAGUGUUAUCCGGAAUCACUGGGCGUAAAGCGUCUGUAGGUGGUUUAAUAAGUCAACUGUUAAAUCUUGAGGCUCAACUUCAAAAUCGCAGUCGAAACUAUUAGACUAGAGUAUAGUAGAGGUAAAGGGAAUUUCCAGUGGAGCGGUGAAAUGCGUAGAUAUUGGAAAGAACACCGAUGGCGAAAGCACUUUACUGGGCUAUUACUAACACUCAGAGACGAAAGCUAGGGUAGCAAAUGGGAUUAGAUACCCCAGUAGUCCUAGCCGUAAACAAUGGAUACUAGAUGUUGAACAGAUCGACCUGUGCAGUAUCAAAGCUAACGCGUUAAGUAUCCCGCCUGGGAAGUAUGCUCGCAAGAGUGAAACUCAAAUGAAUUGACGGA